AGAAAUAUUUUUAAAAUUUCUACGGUCAUUUCCAAAGCUUAAACAAUGUCUGGAAAAGGAGAAGAAAAUUUAAACCAACAUCCCAGUGUUACUAUUUAUGUAUUUUUUUCCAAACUUAAAUCAUCUUUUCAAAGAUUGGGAAGAUUUUGGAGUAAUAAAAUAACUCCAAAAAGUUAAAUGAUGAUUUUCAUAGGAACAGUGAAAAAUAAAAAAAUUUUCAAAGCUUGCAAAGCUCUUCUAGAAAUUAUUCAAUUAAUUUCAGAAAGUAGAGACAGCGUUUUUGUUAACGAAAAAUUACUGUGCUAAUUGAACUCUUUAACUGACAAAUGAUAGAGCAGACUAUACAAAAACUGGUAUCACUAAAGUUGUAUUAAAUAGAUGAUGAUUUUAAAGUAAAUUUCAUGGUAAUUUGGACCAACAGAAGCGUCUUCGUGAUGCUGCGACCAACACCAAUUAAUUAAUCGUCAAUUAUUUGUAUUUUUAAUCCACACUAUUAUUGGAAUUGGGAUUUGAAAGUGUUGAAGAUGAAGCAGCGAAAGCGCGAAAGAACUAGGGUGCAGGUGAAGAAAUAAAAUAAUCACCGCUGUGAUGGAACAGCCGAUGGAAAUAAAAAGUAUUUAUAUAGAUGAUACACACAAUAUGCCAGGUAUAUUGCAUUGAAUAAUUGCCAUAUAUAUUUGCUCCACCUAUUCCAUUAUUACUCCAUUCAGGACGUAAAUAAUUAUAUAUAUCUUCUACCUGGUAAUUGGACUCAAUUGUAUCCGGAGUUCAUUACAAUCUAUCACUAAACUUAAAUAGUUGCGAGUCAUUUAGCAAAAUGUCUUAAGAAAUCUCAACAUUUUUAUUCUCUUUAUUUCCAAACGAUAAAAUAGCUUUCAUUUAAUUCGUCUUGGUAGUAGUAUUAUAAAAGCCUCGUUUACAUAAUGACUGAAAAACAAUUAAAAUUCUACAAGAGUUGUCAAUCAUCUCAGUUACUCUGUUGUUAGUAUUGUUAUAUACUUUAUUGUAUUACGUAUUAAUGUCUAUUGUUAUUAAUUCUCAACAAGUCGAACUAAGAGCGUAAGCUUGUUAUAAUCUCAGAAGUCGCUUGCGUGGUGUUUGCACCCUCUUACGUCUCUUGGAUCCCAAAAAUGUUCGGGCGCUCGGCAAGUAGAAAGUGCCGUGUUUGCAGAAUUCAUUGAAUCAUUGCCAUUGCGGGAGCACGCGCCCUGGGCAAUUUUUCAAUUGUUAUUUCUCCCUGAGAGAACAAGUGAAUAAUGGGAGAUUCGAGAAGGGAGACACGAGAUUGUAUACCUAUACUAUCCAUCAGGGAGUUUAUAUAGAGAUGAUGAGCUUUAUUAUAUUUCACUAUGACCCAUAGGCACUUUUUCACAAUUAACUUGCCAUAAACUCUUUGCCAUUCAUACACGUUGACAAAAAAAAAUUUAUAUGAUAACUAGACAUUGAAAAUGUCAGCAAGUGAUAUUCCUACUUAUAAU
Chelonus insularis is the source of this 1478-nucleotide long non-coding RNA. RefSeq lists it as uncharacterized. The record is from RefSeq and is a predicted model, not a curated record. The transcript is spliced from 3 exons. NCBI's taxonomy places the organism in Eukaryota, Metazoa, Arthropoda, Insecta, Hymenoptera, Braconidae.